CGUCGUCGAGGCCGCCCGGCGUGCGGUUGGACAGCCCAUCGAGCACCGCGCCGACCGUCUGCGCGAUCGCGGUGAAGCGAAUGCGGCGCGACAGGAACGCGUCCACGGCGAUUUCGUUCGCCGCAUUGAGCGCCGCGCUCGCGACGCCGCCCGCCUCGAGCGCGUCGAUGGCGAGCGCGAGGCACGGGAAGCGCGCGUAGUCGGGCUUCUCGAACGUGAGCGUCGCGAUCUGCGCGAGAUCGAGCUGCGCGACGCCCGCGUCGACACGCUCGGGAAACGCGAGCGCGUGCGCGAUCGGCGUGCGCAUGUCCGGGUUGCCGAGCUGCGCGAGCACCGAGCCGUCGCGAUACGACACGAGCGAAUGGAUCACGCUCUGCGGAUGGAUCAGCACGUCGAUGUGCUCGCUCGGCAGGCCGAACAGCCAGUGCGCCUCGAUCACCUCGAGGCCCUUGUUCAUCAUCGUCGCGGAAUCGACGGAGAUCUUGCGGCCCAUCACCCAGUUCGGAUGCUUGCACGCCUCGUCGGGCGUCACGCUCGCGAGCGUCGCGGGCUCGCGCGUGCGGAACGGGCCGCCCGACGCGGUCACGAUGAUCUUCGCGAUGCCCCCAUGCUCGGCCGCGUCGCGCGGCAUGCACUGGAAGAUCGCGUUGUGCUCGCUGUCGACGGGCAACAGGAUCGCGCCGUGAUCGCGCACCGCGUCCAUGAAGAUCGCGCCCGACAUCACGAGCGCUUCCUUGUUCGCGAGCAGGAUGCGCUUGCCCGCGCGCGCGGCGGCGAGGCUCGGCGCGAGCCCCGCCGCGCCGACGAUCGCCGCGACGACGGUGUCGCAGCCGUCGCUCUUCGAUACGUCGACGAGCGCCUGCUUGCCGUACGCGACCUGGGUCCGGCUGCCCGCGGCGCGCAAUUGCGCCUCGACCCGCGCGGCGGUUUCGGCGUCGCCGACCACCGCGACGUCCGGCGCAAAGCGCAGGCACUGGGCGACGAGCUUCUCGCCGUUGCGGUGGGCCGUGAGCGCAUGAACCGCGAAGCGUUCCGGAUGACGCGCGACGACGUCGAGCGUGCUGUCUCCGAUCGAGCCCGUCGAACCGAGCAAUGUCAGACGUUUUUGCAUAAUAGGGUCUAGUUUUAACCGAGCAGCAGCAUCGCGAGCGGCAGCACGGGCAGCAGCGCGUCGACGCGGUCGAGCACGCCGCCGUGGCCCGGCAGGAGACCGCUCGAAUCUUUCACGCCGGCCUGGCGCUUGAGCAGCGACUCGAACAGGUCGCCGACCACGCUGAACGCGACGAGCACCGUGAGCGCCGCGAAUGCGCCCGCCGCACCGUACCGCGCGACGAACGUCGAAUAAAGGGUCGGUUCGAAGGCGUGCGCCGCGACAGCCGCGCCGGCGACGAUCAUCACCGCGAGCCAGCCGCCCGCCGCGCCUUCCCAGGUUUUGCCGGGGCUCACCGACGGCGCGAGCUUGUGCUUGCCGAACGCCUUUCCGGCGAAGUAUGCGCCGAUAUCGGCGAGCCAUACCACUACCAACAGCGACAACACGAAGGGUACGCCUUGUGCGCGCGCGGCGACGAGCGCGUGCCAGCACGCCGAGAAGACGACGAGACCCGCGACGAGCAGGAACGGCUUCCACGCGCGCUCGGCGAGCGCGGGCUUGCGCCAGAGCGCGUACGGGCCCGCCAGCAGCCAGAACACCCCCGCGGCCGCGAACAGCGGCCGCGCGGCGGCCGCGCCGAUGCCGAGCCGCGUGCUCGCGCCGAGCGCGAGCGCCGCGACGGCCGCGUACGCGAGCGGGCCCGCGCCGCCCAGCUUCAACAGCCGCCCCCACUCCCACGCGGCGAAUACGAGCGCGAACGCGAUCAGCGCGCCGAACGCGGCGAGCGGCGCGAACAGCGUCACGGGCAGCAGCACCGCCAGCAGCACGACCGCCGUGAUGACACGGGUCUUCAGCAUGAAAGGGAAUCGGCGUCCUGGGCCUGGGGUUCGAGCUGCGCGCUCGUGCGGCCGAAGCGGCGUUCGCGGUGCGUGUACGACGCGAGCGCUUCGGCGAGCGCGCCGGCGUCGAAAUCCGGCCAGAACGUGUCGGUGAAGUAGAACUCGGUAUAGGCGAGCUGCCAGAGCAGGAAAUUGCUGAUGCGCUGCUCGCCGCCCGUGCGGAUGAAGAGAUCCGGCUCGGGCGCAUAGGCCAUCGCCAGAUGGCGGGCGAACGCGUCCUCGUCGAUUUCGGGCGCGCGCCCUUCGCGCGCCGCCUCUUCGACGAGCUUGCGCGUCGCCUGCAGGAUGUCCCAAUGGCCGCCGUAGUUCGCGGCGAUCGUGAGCGUGAGGCGCGUAUUGCGCGCCGUCUUCGUCUCGCCGCGACGAAUCAGCGCCUGGAUGCGCGGCUCGAACUUCGUCAGAUCGCCGACGACGCGCAGCCGGAUGCCGUUCGCGUGCAGCUUGCCGACCUCGCGCUCGAGCGCGGUGAUGAACAGGCGCAUCAGGAACGACACUUCGUCGUUCGGCCGGCGCCAGUUCUCGGAGCUGAACGCGAAGAGCGUCAGAUAUUCGACGCCCGCGCGUGCGCAUCCCUCGACGACCGAGCGCACCGCGUCGACGCCGCGCGUGUGCCCCGCGACGCGCGGCAGGCGGCGCUCGGUCGCCCAACGGCCGUUGCCGUCCAUGAUGAUCGCGAUGUGACGCGGCACGGCGGCGACGUCAGGCACGCGAACGGUAGAGCUGGUAUAGGUCAUGGCCGCUGAGACUGUAGCUGCAGGAAAAAGUGCGACGCAAGGCGGCUUCAGACCGUCAUGAUCUCCGCGUCCUUGGCCUGGACGAGCUUGUCGAUCUCCGCGACGUGCUUGUCCGUCAGCUUCUGCACGUCGUCGCUCGCGCGGCGCUCGUCGUCUUCGGAAAUUUCCUUGU
This 2895-nucleotide ribosomal RNA is filed under the name Burkholderia mallei 2002721280. RNAcentral's name for it is "23S ribosomal RNA". Lineage: Bacteria; Pseudomonadati; Pseudomonadota; Betaproteobacteria; Burkholderiales; Burkholderiaceae. The record is from RNAcentral.